GAUGAACGCUGGCGGCGUGCUUAACACAUGCAAGUCGAACGAGAAGUGAAGACGGAAACCUUCGGGCGGAAGGCUUUAUUUCGAGUGGCGGACGGGUGAUUAACGCGUGGUUAACCUGCCUCAUACAGGGGGAUAACAGUUGGAAACGACUGUUAAUACCGCAUAAGACCACAGCACCGCAUGGUGCGGGGGUAAAAACUCCGGUGGUAUGAGAUGGACCCGCUUUCGAUUAGCCAGUUGGCGGGGUAACGGCCCACCAAAGCGACGAUCGAUAGCCGAGAUGAGAGGAUGGCCGGACACAUUGGGACUGAGACACGGCCGAAACUCCUACGGGAGGCAGCAGUGGGGAAUAUUGCACAAUGGGGGAAACCCUGAUGCAGCGACGCCGCGUGAGUGAAGAAGUGUUGCGGUAUGUAAAGCUCUAGCAGCAGUGAAGAAAAUGACGGUACCUGAGUAAGAAGCCACGGCUAACUACGUG
This 478-nucleotide ribosomal RNA is filed under the name uncultured bacterium. Its description in RNAcentral is "partial 16S ribosomal RNA". It matches the Rfam family "Bacterial small subunit ribosomal RNA", at positions 28 to 507 of the family's 1533-position model. The record is from RNAcentral.